RNAcentral lists this transfer RNA (66 nucleotides) under Macoma balthica. Its description in RNAcentral is "Limecola balthica tRNA-Glu". Lineage: Eukaryota; Metazoa; Mollusca; Bivalvia; Cardiida; Tellinidae. The record is from RNAcentral.
AGCCUCUGUGGUGUAAAAAACACACUAAGUUUUCAGUUUAGGGUUAAAGGUUUAAUCUUUCGGAGG